This 439-nucleotide ribosomal RNA is filed under the name uncultured bacterium. RNAcentral's name for it is "partial 16S ribosomal RNA". It matches the Rfam family "Bacterial small subunit ribosomal RNA", at positions 339 to 795 of the family's 1533-position model. The record is from RNAcentral.
CUACGGGGGGCUCCAGUGAGGAAUAUUGCACAAUGGGGGGAACCCUGAUGCAGCAACGCCGCGCGGAGGAUGACGCAUUUCGGUGUGUAAACUCCUUUUAUAUGUCAAGAAAAUGACGGUAGCAUAUGAAUAAGCACCGGCUAACUCCGUGCCAGCAGCCGCGGUAAUACGGAGGGUGCAAGCGUUACUCGGAAUCACUGGGCGUAAAGGACGCGUAGGCGGGUUGGAAAGUCAGGUGUGAAAUCCUACAGCUUAACUGUAGAACUGCACUUGAAACUUCUAAUCUAGAGUAUGGGAGGGGGAGAUGGAAUUAGUGGUGUAGGGGUAAAAUCCGUAGAUAUCACUAGGAAUACCUAAAGCGAAGGCGAUCUCCUGGAACAUUACUGACGCUAAGGCGUGAAAGCGUGGGGGGCAAACAGGAUUAGAUACCCGAGUAGUC